AAGCAUUUGGAGCUCUACUUCUAUGAUGAUGAUCCCAGUUUACAACAUAGGUUUCGGCGCUCCCCAAACCUAGACCGAGAUGUCAUUCGUAAGCUUGUCGACAUCCUCAAGGAUAAUCCUUAUUCUGAGACAUUCAGGAAUCUAGGUGGAGUCGAUGACCUUGAGGAAUACCGUAUUGAACUAAACACCGACAUGAGGUUGGACCAACAGAGAUAUAACUUGCCUAUAUCAUUGGAGGUUGCGGCUAUUUUGGUUGAGGGUAAUGAACUAUGUAAGCACUUUGAUCAUAGCAUAGUACUGUUUGGUAACGACAACAAGAGAUAUAGCAUCCAGCCAUAUUAUGGAUGCUAUGAUCCAUUGUCUUACCCUUUAUUCUUUCCAAGAGGGGAGAUUGGUUGGCAUCCCGAAAUCCCAAAGAAUGGCGUCAACUUGAAUGAUAUACUUCAAUCUCGUCGCAGUGGUCGACAUAGUCUAGGUACAUAUACAAAUAGUCGAUUAUGCGUAUCUGUUAGAGACUACUAUUGCUACAAGUUUCAAAUACGUCGUGGUGUAUUUAACACCAUGCUAUACGGUAAACGACUGUUCCAACAGUAUGUGGUUGAUAUGUACAUCAAGGUUGAAAGCUCAAGAUUGGACUAUAUCAGAAAUCACCAGAAACAAAUACGUGCUGAUCUAUACCAAGGUGUUGUUGAUAGCCUUCAAGCUGGGGAAAACCGUGUGGAUGCAGUGGGCAAAUGGACUAUACUUCCUACAUCAUUUAUUGGGGGAAAAAGAGAUAGGAGACGAAGGUAUCUUGAUGCCAUGGCCUUGGUGCAAAAGUAUGGGAAACCAGAUAUAUUUUUAACCAUAACUUGCAAUCCAAAUUGGGAUGAGAUAAUUAGUGAGCUAGAGCCUGGACAAACCCCACAGGAUCGCCCUGAUCUUAUCGUACGAGUAUUUCGAGCAAAGUUGGAAGACCUCAAGAUACAACUUUUUAAGAAGCACAUGCUCGGUAAGGUAGCAGCAUAUGUGUAUGUCGUUGAGUUUCAGAAAGGA
This 1035-nucleotide ribosomal RNA is filed under the name Triticum aestivum (bread wheat). RNAcentral describes it as "partial small subunit ribosomal RNA". Lineage: Eukaryota; Viridiplantae; Streptophyta; Magnoliopsida; Poales; Poaceae. The record is from RNAcentral.